GGAAGGUCCAGGCGUUAUCCGGAUUUAUUGGGUUUAAAGGGAGCGUAGGCCGUUUGGUAAGCGUGUUGUGAAAUGUCGGGGCUCAACCUGGGCAUUGCAGCGCGAACUGUCAGACUUGAGUGCGCAGGAAGUAGGCGGAAUUCGUCGUGUAGCGGUGAAAUGCUUAGAUAUGACGAAGAACUCCGAUUGCGAAGGCAGCCUGCUGUAGCGCAACUGACGCUGAAGCUCGAAAGCGUGGGUGUCGAACAGGAUUAGAUACCCUGGUAGUCCACGCGGUAAACGAUGGAUGCUCGCUGUUUGCGUCUGACGUAAGCGGCCAAGCGAAAGCGUUAAGCAUCCCACCUGGGGAGU
RNAcentral lists this ribosomal RNA (351 nucleotides) under uncultured bacterium. RNAcentral describes it as "bacterial SSU rRNA". It matches the Rfam family "Bacterial small subunit ribosomal RNA", at positions 527 to 881 of the family's 1533-position model. The record is from RNAcentral.